GUUCCUAGAACGCAGGCAGCAGCCGGAACUCAGUUGUCUGCACCGCAGUGACACAGCCCCGCAGCCCAGGCCUGAGUUGGCUGGCAUGGGCCAGCCACCCGUUAGUCUCUGCUGUGUAGACAGACUCUGAGAAGUUACGAUCCGUGACCCCGAGCCCUUCUUUAACACAACUGACAACAUCACUAAUUCAUCAAAGAAGCCGGGAGGAAAAUGGCCAAAAAGAGAGAUGAAGAAAAAAGACCAACAACGAACGACGAUGGAUCACGCUGUUUAUGUCAGAGACUUUCCCAAGAAAUGUCCAGCUGUUCAUCUCAAGCCAGUUCCUGGAACAAGCAGUGCCGCAGGUACUGGGUGAAAAUGACACAGCGAGCGAUGGAUUUACGCAUCCAUAGCAAUGCUAAGGAAUCUAGCUUCACUGGGGCUCGUCCAAGCCCAGACCGCUCCACUCGUCUGAGAUGGUGGAAAUUUCGCUCCUUGGCUAUGUGUUUGUUUUGCCUUCAGAUCAAGUUCCUCCUUCUCCCUACAGUGCCAGGAGCUUGGCACAGGGGCUGGGAGGUCUCCUGCAUUGGCAGCAGCUUCCAGGGCGAAUGGAAACUCAAAGGCUUACAUGAAAAACUAUAUAGCCCUGUCAUCCUCUCAGCUCUGUGGGAAGGUUUGGCGAGCAGUUAACAGAAAACAAGUUCAGAAUAAACUUCUUACUCUGCUCACUUGGAUUGCUCUGGGGAGUUCUCUAGCUCAAGUAAUAAAGUAAAUGGCUCUUUUUAGAGCUGAGAGUAGGAGAAAGGCUUUUUGUACUGCCGUCCCAUAGAAGUCAACAUAGAUUCCUUGAAAAGAGAGAGUGAGUGAGAAUGAACUGUAGAUAAAAUAUUAAGGGACAGAUUCUGUCUUGUCCUGCAUGACCACACAAGGGAUGAUGGGACUCUCCUGUGUGGCUAUCCACUUUGGGUGUAGCUGCAUGGUCAGCAAGCAGAGUCCAUGAGGCCACUAGAUGUGUCCCCACAUGCAUAUGGACGGGUGUGUCAUGGAGAACAAGUGGGACUUUGAUCCAGCACCUCUCCUCCCAUGUGACACUGGCACGCCUGCACCAGGUCAAGAGCUGGCAUAGGGUACGUCCCCCUCUCCCUUCCCCUCAGGGAGCUGGGCAAUGGACUAGGAUGGAGUCACAACAACAUGCUGCCUUGUGCACGGGGCUUGUGACAAAGCCAUGACUGAGCUCUACAAUAGGCACCAAUGAACUCCAGGCACAAGGGGUGCGGUGGGGGGACGGGAUUCUUCUCCCUUCAUUUAAUGCUGGCCAUCUCAGUGCUCAGCCAAGUGCUUCCCCAUUCUGAAAGGGUUCCCCUGGCUGCAGGGCUCCUGCAAAGCGGCGUUGCCGGGGUGCAAGGAGGGCAUGGCCAUGCGGAAGCGUUCUUCUCCCUCAGGACCCGUGUGGGAUUAGCUCUUCAGAGGAAGGUGCGAAAGGCCAAUCCACUGCGAAACGUUCCAGGAGCCAUAUGAGGAACCUCCCAGAGAUUCAUGUCUCUUUUCGGAGGGGUUUCUCUCACACACAGGACCAAUGUGGCCCAUAAAAUACAGCGAUAGCACAAAGGGAGUGUGAACAGAGGGACAGGAGCUUUUCUCUCAAGGCCUUAAAAAAUUUGAUUGUUCUGUUGUAACAAAAAUAGCUUCACGUUCUGGCUGAACUGGCAGUGCGCUGGGGUGCAGCUGGCUUGUCUCGGGGACCAGGUGCGGGAGAGGUACUUCAACCGUUGCUGGCAGUUCUUUGCUGUACACAGUGACGGGCUGUCAAGUUUGUGCUUCUCUGUGGAUACCUGGAUGGUUUAUGCUUAAUUUAGGUGACAAGCGGCAGACAAUCUAUGGAUUUACACCAGGGGUGAAUUUGUUCCACCUUUUCAAAACACCUGUUGUUUUACAUUUGAUGUAGAGCAGCUCAAAGCAUUUUCAACAAAACAGUUUCCCCAUCAGAAAAUGCAAUUUAAUCAACAUCAAAACAUUUUGCAGAAACAUGCAGCAUUCAACAAAAUUUUCAAGGGGAAAAAGUCAAACAAACGUAAUAAAACAUUUUGACAUUAUCAAAAUGAAAUGCUUUGAUGGUUCCAAAGAGAAAGCUUUUGGAAUCCUCAUUUCCUGGGAAAUUUCAACUUUUGAUUCUGAUUUAGAAUGAAAACAAAUUUUGAAAUGUCAA
This is a long non-coding RNA of Chelonia mydas (Green sea turtle), 2185 nucleotides long. RefSeq lists it as uncharacterized. Lineage: Eukaryota; Metazoa; Chordata; Testudines; Cheloniidae. The record is from RefSeq and is a predicted model, not a curated record. The transcript has 2 exons.